UACGGAGGACCCAAGCGUUAUUCGGAUUUAUUGGGUUUAAAGGGUGCGUAGGCGGAUUAGUAAGUCAGAGGUGAAAGCCCACAGCUUAACUGUGGAACUGCCUUUGAUACUGCUAACCUUGAGUGCAGAUGAUGUGGGCGGAAUAUGACAUGUAGCGGUGAAAUGCUUAGAUAUGUCAUAGAACACCGAUUGCGAAGGCAGCUCACAAAACUGUAACUGACGCUGAGGCACGAAAGCAUGGGGAUCGAACAGG
This 253-nucleotide ribosomal RNA is filed under the name uncultured bacterium. Its description in RNAcentral is "partial 16S ribosomal RNA". It matches the Rfam family "Bacterial small subunit ribosomal RNA", at positions 524 to 776 of the family's 1533-position model. The record is from RNAcentral.